Molecule: ribosomal RNA, 329 nt
Filed under: uncultured eukaryote
Lineage: Eukaryota
Description: partial 18S ribosomal RNA
Rfam family: Eukaryotic small subunit ribosomal RNA
Source: RNAcentral
CCCUUAGAUGUCCUGGGCCGCACGCGCGCUACACUGAGUGUCUGAGAUACGAGUCUGCCUGGUCCGGCAAGGUCUAGGUAAUCGCUAAAAGACACAUCAUGCUUGGGAUAGAUUAUUGCAAAUAUUAAUCUUGAACGAGGAAUUCCUUGUAAGCGCAAGUCAACAGCUUGCGUUGAUUACGUCCCUGCCCUUUGUACACACCGCCCGUCGCUACUACUGAUUGGAUGUUUAAGCGAGGUUCUCGAACUGCUAGCGACUUAGCUUCGGUGAGGUCGCAGUGUGGGAAGUGAACCUAGCUUUGGUGUCUAGAGGAAGUAAAAGUCGUAACA